GCCGCCGUAGCUCAGUUGGCAGAGCAACGCAUUCGUAAUGCGUAGGUCAGGAGUUCGACUCUCCUCGGCGGCUC
Molecule: transfer RNA, 74 nt
Filed under: Gimesia maris
Lineage: Bacteria; Pseudomonadati; Planctomycetota; Planctomycetia; Planctomycetales; Planctomycetaceae
Also listed under: 2 other names
Description: tRNA-Thr
Rfam family: tRNA
About the family: Transfer RNA (tRNA) molecules are approximately 80 nucleotides in length. Their secondary structure includes four short double-helical elements and three loops (D, anti-codon, and T loops).
Source: RNAcentral